Molecule: ribosomal RNA, 305 nt
Filed under: uncultured bacterium
Lineage: Bacteria
Description: bacterial SSU rRNA
Rfam family: Bacterial small subunit ribosomal RNA
Source: RNAcentral
UUUACCUACGGGAGGCAGCAGUGAGGAAUAUUGGUCAAUGGGCGGUAGCCUGAACCAGCCAAGUAGCGUGAAGGAUGAAGGUUCUAUGGAUUGUAAACUUCUUUUAUAAAGGAAUAAAGUGAGGCACGUGUGCCUUUUUGUAUGUACUUUAUGAAUAAGGAUCGGCUAACUCCGUGCCAGCAGCCGCGGUAAUACGGAGGAUGCGAGCGUUAUCCGGAUUUAUUGGGUUUAAAGGGUGCGUAGGCGGUCCGUUAAGUCAGCGGUAAAAUUGCGGGGCUCAACCCCGUCGAGCCGUUGAAACUGGC